RNAcentral lists this unclassified non-coding RNA (227 nucleotides) under Hevea brasiliensis (rubber tree). Lineage: Eukaryota; Viridiplantae; Streptophyta; Magnoliopsida; Malpighiales; Euphorbiaceae. The record is from RNAcentral.
GCUCCUUUUGAAGCAAUGGCUCAAAGAAGAGGAGCUAAUCCUAAACAGGAUCAAUCUUAAAGAGACCCAAAUUGAUUCAGUCCGCAAAGAGAUCACGCAGCUCUACAUCUUCUUCUUUCUCUUCCACUCCAUUGCCUUGCUCCUCCUCUUCAAUGCCUCCUCCAGAGACCCACCUGGAAGUGGGUCCUCUUGCAAGAGAUCAUGGAUCCCAUCAUUGUGUUCUCUUU